GAUGAACGCUGGCGGCGUGCCUAACACAUGCAAGUCGAACGGAGAUUACGGACGGAAGUUUUCGGAUGGAAGCCUGUAAUUCUUAGUGGCGGACGGGUGAGUAACGCGUGGGCAACCUGCCCUAUACAGGGGGAUAGCAGCUGGAAACGGCUGGUAAGACCGCAUAAGUCGGUUAAAUCGCAUGAUUUGAUCGGGAAAUGAGCAAUCAGGUAUAGGAUGGGCCCGCGUCCGAUUAGCCAGUUGGCAGGGUAAAAGCCUACCAAAGCGACGAUCGGUAGCCGGACUGAGAGGUCGGACGGCCACAUUGGGACUGAGACACGGCCCAAACUCCUACGGGAGGCAGCAGUGGGGGAUAUUGCACAAUGGAGGAAACUCUGAUGCAGCGACGCAGCGUGAGUGAAGAAGUAUUUCGGUAUGUAAAGCUCUAUCAGCAGGGAAGAUGAUGACGGUACCUGACGAAGAAGCCCCGGCUAACUACGUG
This 481-nucleotide ribosomal RNA is filed under the name uncultured bacterium. RNAcentral describes it as "partial 16S ribosomal RNA". It matches the Rfam family "Bacterial small subunit ribosomal RNA", at positions 28 to 507 of the family's 1533-position model. The record is from RNAcentral.